This 253-nucleotide ribosomal RNA is filed under the name uncultured bacterium. Its description in RNAcentral is "partial 16S ribosomal RNA". It matches the Rfam family "Bacterial small subunit ribosomal RNA", at positions 524 to 776 of the family's 1533-position model. The record is from RNAcentral.
UACGUAGGGUGCGAGCGUUGUCCGGAAUUAUUGGGCGUAAAGGGCUCGUAGGCGGUUUGUCGCGUCGGGAGUGAAAAUCCAGGGCUUAACUCUGGACUGGCUUCCGAUACGGGCAGACUAGAGGUAUGCAGGGGAGAACGGAAUUCCUGGUGUAGCGGUGAAAUGCGCAGAUAUCAGGAGGAACACCGGUGGCGAAGGCGGUUCUCUGGGCAUUACCUGACGCUGAGGAGCGAAAGCGUGGGGAGCAAACAGG